RNAcentral lists this long non-coding RNA (481 nucleotides) under Numida meleagris (helmeted guineafowl). Its description in RNAcentral is "lncRNA (ENSNMEG00000001756.1)". The record is from RNAcentral. Lineage: Eukaryota; Metazoa; Chordata; Aves; Galliformes; Numididae.
CCGACCCGCCCCCGGCCUCUCAUUGGUCAGUGACAGCUCCGCCGACUCCGAUUGGCUGAGCCGCAGCGCACGGGACCGGCUGUUGGCAGCCGGCUCGAGGCCGCCCAGCUCUCCCCUCAGUGCCGCUCCCACAGGCCGGGCGCCCCGCACGGGACCGGCCCCGCAGCCGCUGCGCGCCGGAGCUGUCCGGGCAGCACCGAGACGGAACCGCGGCACCACGGCACAUGGAGGAAAGGAGGCAUGUGGGAAGAGCUGUGGUCCUGCUUGCCCCAGGAGCUGCACGGAAGGAGAAGCAGCUUGGCGCAAAGAAGGCCGAGACGCAAGAGUGAAGAAGUAAGUAACGAGAAGGCAAGUGAAGGGCAGUGAAGGUAAGAGUAGGCUAAGGCAAGGGGGAAGGAGAGGGGCAAGGGAGCCACGGGGGGUAAGGGGAAGAGAGGGGCUGGGAGAAGAGGGGAGGGGGAUGUGUGACUGGGGAGGGGAA